RNAcentral lists this ribosomal RNA (371 nucleotides) under uncultured bacterium. RNAcentral describes it as "partial 16S ribosomal RNA". It matches the Rfam family "Bacterial small subunit ribosomal RNA", at positions 355 to 716 of the family's 1533-position model. The record is from RNAcentral.
UGGGGAAUAUUGCACAAUGGGCGCAAGCCUGAUGCAGCCAUGCCGCGUGUGUGAAGAAGGCCUUCGGGUUGUAAAGCACUUUCAGCGAGGAGGAAGGUGGUGAGCUUAAUACGCUCAUCAAUUGACGUUACUCGCAGAAGAAGCACCGGCUAACUCCGUGCCAAGCAGCCGCGGUAAUACGGAGGGUGCAAGCGUUAAUCGGAAUUACUGGGCGUAAAGCGCACGCAGGCGGUUUGUUAAGUCAGAUGUGAAAUCCCCGGGCUCAACCUGGGAACUGCAUUUGAAACUGGCAAGCUAGAGUCUCGUAGAGGGGGGUAGAAUUUCCAGGUGUAGCGGUGAAAUGCGUAGAGAUCUGGAGGAAUACCGGUGGC